RNAcentral lists this ribosomal RNA (941 nucleotides) under uncultured bacterium. RNAcentral's name for it is "bacterial SSU rRNA". It matches the Rfam family "Bacterial small subunit ribosomal RNA", at positions 45 to 984 of the family's 1533-position model. The record is from RNAcentral.
GGCUUACACAUGCAGUCGAGCGGGGAAAGGUAGCUUGCUACCUUACCUAGCGGCGGACGGGUGUGUAAUGCUUAGGAAUCUGCCUAUUAGUGGGGGACAACAUUUCGAAAGGAAUGCUAAUACCGCAUACGCCCUACGGGGGAAAGCAGGGGACCUUCGGGCCUUGCGCUAAUAGAUGAGCCUAAGUCGGAUUAGCUAGUUGGUGGGGUAAAGGCCUACCAAGGCGACGAUCUGUAGCGGGUCUGAGAGGAUGAUCCGCCACACUGGGACUGAGACACGGCCCAGACUCCUACGGGAGGCAGCAGUGGGGAAUAUUGGACAAUGGGGGGAACCCUGAUCCAGCCAUGCCGCGUGUGUGAAGAAGGCCUUUUGGUUGUAAAGCACUUUAAGCGAGGAGGAGGCUCCCUAGAUUAAUACUCUAGGAGAGUGGACGUUACUCGCAGAAUAAGCACCGGCUAACUCUGUGCCAGCAGCCGCGGUAAUACAGAGGGUGCAAGCGUUAAUCGGAUUUACCGGGCGUAAAGCGUGCGUAGGUGGCCAAUUAAGUCAAAUGUGAAAUCCCCGAGCUUAACUUGGGAAUUGCAUUCGAUACUGGUUGGCUAGAGUAUGGGAGAGGAUGGUAGAAUUCCAGGUGUAGCGGUGAAAUGCGUAGAGAUCUGGAGGAAUACCGAUGGCGAAGGCAGCCAUCUGGCCUAAUACUGACACUGAGGUACGAAAGCAUGGGGAGCAAACAGGAUUAGAUACCCUGGUAGUCCAUGCCGUAAACGAUGUCUACUAGCCGUUGGGGUCUUUGAGACUUUAGUGGCGCAGCUAACGCGAUAAGUAGACCGCCUGGGGAGUACGGUCGCAAGACUAAAACUCAAAUGAAUUGACGGGGGCCCGCACAAGCGGUGGAGCAUGUGGUUUAAUUCGAUGCAACGCGAGACCUUACCUGGUCUUGA